UAGUGAUAUUGAUUGCUUCUUUGUCUCAGGAGGUAUAAGAACUGGCAGAUCUCAAAGGGGAAAUUUCUGGUAUCCUGUGUCUUCAGACUUUGUUCUUCUGUUCAAGUAACUCUCCUCCCUUCAUGGUGUGUGGACCACCUGGGGAUCUCCAUUCCCACACACAGCAUCCUCUCCCACUGAGGCCAGACAUGGCAGUCCAUUAAGGGAACAGAUUCCAAAGAUAGGCAGCAGCUUUAUGGCCAGUCAGUGCUACAGUUAUUGGAGGACCCUCAUGAAGACUGAGCUGCACAUCUGCUACCUACAUGUCAGGGGCCUUAGUCCAGCCUGUGUAUCCUAUUUGGUCAGUGGCUCAAUUUCUGUGUGUCCCCAAGGGACACUCCUGUAACUUUGCCAGUGCAUUUCUUUUAGACAGGACACAUUUUGUUCUGUGUGUCUACUGUGUCGUGGUUGAAACUAUAAAAGCCCCUAGCUUCCAAGUCUUGGGGUUGAAACCAUUGU
Mus musculus (house mouse) is the source of this 498-nucleotide long non-coding RNA. RefSeq annotates it as predicted gene, 40988. The record is from RefSeq and is a predicted model, not a curated record. Lineage: Eukaryota; Metazoa; Chordata; Mammalia; Rodentia; Muridae. The transcript has 3 exons.